UGGCUACAAAAUAAAUUUUUUUGUAGCCACUUUGAGUUACGUGAUUACUAUAUUAAUUUAUAAGAUUAUAGUAACUCCUUAUUAAGUGUUUACUAUAACAUUACGGAACUAUCGUAGAUAUGUAUGUGUAUUAUCGUAAAUUAGUAUAUAAAAUUAUCGUAAAUAGAGGUGGCUACAGAAUAAAUUAUUUUAUAGCUA
RNAcentral lists this microRNA precursor (198 nucleotides) under Sorghum bicolor (sorghum). RNAcentral describes it as "MIR6217 microRNA precursor family". It matches the Rfam family "MIR6217 microRNA precursor family". Lineage: Eukaryota; Viridiplantae; Streptophyta; Magnoliopsida; Poales; Poaceae. The record is from Rfam by way of RNAcentral.